UGGUAAUUCAUUCAAUACAAACUACCCAACAAGCCAAUAUUGAUACACAUUUUUUUUCUCUCCUACAAUACUUAAAUAUUUAGCCUGAACAAAAUAAAAGGAUGGAGCGAUCAAACAAUCUUAUGCUUCACUGUGAUCAACAGGACUAAGGCGUCAAAGAUCACACAAUAAAAGUUAGUCACUCUAUUUUUAAAAUACGUAAAAAUUUUCAAGGUGUUACAAUGAAUUGAUUUAUACCAUAUACAACAGAACCAGACUAAAUACACCAUUCGCUAUUCCAGUAAACCAAACAAGUUGUAGAAUAACAAAAGAUACUAAUGAAUGUUAAAAAGUAAAAGUGGAAAUAUCUCUAUAUAUAUAGAAUAAUAGUGGUCGAGAACAGAUUUUUGAACAGAUUUUUCAAAAAUAUAUUGUGC
RNAcentral lists this long non-coding RNA (416 nucleotides) under Olea europaea subsp. europaea. Lineage: Eukaryota; Viridiplantae; Streptophyta; Magnoliopsida; Lamiales; Oleaceae. The record is from RNAcentral.